AUUGAACGCUGGCGGAAUGCUUUACACAUGCAAGUCGGGCGGCAGCAUGGACUUCGGUCUGAUGGCGAGCGGCGAACGGGUGAGUAAUGCAUCGGAACGUACCUAGUCGUGGGGGAUAACUACUCGAAAGAGUAGCUAAUACCGCAUACGUCCUACGGGAGAAAGCAGGGGAUCGCAAGACCUUGCGCGAUUGGAGCGGCCGAUGUCUGAUUAGCUAGUUGGUGGGGUAAAGGCUCACCAAGGCGACGAUCAGUAGCGGGUCUGAGAGGAUGAUCCGCCACACUGGGACUGAGACACGGCCCAGACUCCUACGGGAGGCAGCAGUGGGGAAUUUUGGACAAUGGGCGCAAGCCUGAUCCAGCCAUUCCGCGUGAGUGAAGAAGGCCUCGGGUUGUAAAGCUCUUUCGGCAGGAAAGAAAUCGCCGCUCUAACAUAGCGGGUGGAUGACGGUACCUGAAGAAGAAGCACCGGCUAACUACGUGCCAGCAGCCGCGGUAAUACGUAGGGUGCGAGCG
RNAcentral lists this ribosomal RNA (515 nucleotides) under uncultured bacterium. RNAcentral's name for it is "bacterial SSU rRNA". It matches the Rfam family "Bacterial small subunit ribosomal RNA", at positions 29 to 540 of the family's 1533-position model. The record is from RNAcentral.